Molecule: small nucleolar RNA, 133 nt
Organism: Mastomys coucha (southern multimammate mouse)
Lineage: Eukaryota; Metazoa; Chordata; Mammalia; Rodentia; Muridae
Product: small nucleolar RNA SNORA17
Exons: 1
Source: RefSeq, a predicted model, not a curated record
ACUGAUGCCAGAGUGGAUGCGGCUGACUGCUGUGUCACAUGUGUGUCAGUAGAUGGUAGAGAGGAGAGAGGCUAUAUCUACACUCAGCAUUCUGACCUCUGAACAUAGAAAUAAAUGGUAGUAGCCUAACUGU